AUUCCCUACGGGGGGCAGCAGUAGGGAAUUUUCGUCAAUGGGCGCAAGCCUGAACGAGCAAUGCCGCGUGAACGAGGAAGGUCUUCGGAUCGUAAAGUUCUGUUGAAGGGGAAAAAGAGCGGAGAGUGGAAAUGGUCUCCGAUUGAUAUUACCCUUCGAGGAAGUCACGGCUAACUACGUGCCAGCAGCCGCGGUAAUACGUAGGGGGCGAGCGUUAUCCGGAAUGCUUGGGCGUAAAG
This 239-nucleotide ribosomal RNA is filed under the name uncultured bacterium. Its description in RNAcentral is "partial 16S ribosomal RNA". It matches the Rfam family "Bacterial small subunit ribosomal RNA", at positions 334 to 565 of the family's 1533-position model. The record is from RNAcentral.